RNAcentral lists this ribosomal RNA (403 nucleotides) under uncultured Alphaproteobacteria bacterium. RNAcentral describes it as "bacterial SSU rRNA". It matches the Rfam family "Bacterial small subunit ribosomal RNA", at positions 9 to 431 of the family's 1533-position model. The record is from RNAcentral. Lineage: Bacteria; Pseudomonadati; Pseudomonadota; Alphaproteobacteria.
GAGUUUGAUCCUGGCUCAGAACGAACGCUGGCGGCAUGCCUAACACAUGCAAGUCGAACGGGAUCCGGACUUCGGUUCGGUGAGAGUGGCGGACGGGUGAGUAACGCGUGGGAACCUGCCCAGUGGUGGGGGAUAACUGCGGGAAACUGCAGCUAAUACCGCAUGAGCCCGAGAGGGGAAAGAUUUAUCGCCAUUGGAGGGGCCCGCGUUCGAUUAGGUAGUUGGUGAGGUAAUGGCUCACCAAGCCGACGAUCGAUAGCUGGUCUGAGAGGAUGAUCAGCCACACUGGGACUGAGAUACGGCCCAGACCCCUACGGGAGGCAGCAGUGGGGAAUAUUGGACAAUGGGGGCAACCCUGAUCCAGCAAUGCCGCGUGAGUGAUGAAGGCCUUCGGUUGUAAGAC